RNAcentral lists this ribosomal RNA (393 nucleotides) under uncultured bacterium. Its description in RNAcentral is "partial 16S ribosomal RNA". It matches the Rfam family "Bacterial small subunit ribosomal RNA", at positions 523 to 918 of the family's 1533-position model. The record is from RNAcentral.
CUACGGAGGAUGCGAGCGUUAUCCGGAUUUAUUGGGUUUAAAGGGAGCGUAGGUGGGAUAUUAAGUCAGCUGUGAAAGUUUGGGGCUCAACCUUAAAAUUGCAGUUGAUACUGGUUUCCUUGAGUACGGUACAGGUGGGCGGAAUUCGUGGUGUAGCGGUGAAAUGCUUAGAUAUCACGAAGAACUCCGAUCGCGAAGGCAGCUCACCGGGCCGGAACUGACACUGAUGCUCGAAAGUGCGGGUAUCAAACAGGAUUAGAUACCCUGGUAGUCCGCACAGUAAACGAUGAAUACUCGCUGUUUGCGAUACACUGUAAGCGGCCAAGCGAAAGCGUUAAGUAUUUCACCUGGGGAGUACGCCGGCAACGGUGAAACUCAAAGGAAUUGACGGGG